UACGUAGGCAGCGAGCGUUGUUCGGAGUUACUGGGCGUAAAGGGUGCGUAGGCGGGUCUUUAAGUCAGGGGUGAAAUCCUGGAGCUCAACUCCAGAACUGCCUUUGAUACUGAAGAUCUUGAGUUCGGGAGAGGUGAGUGGAACUGCGAGUGUAGAGGUGAAAUUCGUAGAUAUUCGCAAGAACACCCGUGGCGAAGGCGGCUCUCUGGUACGUGACUGACGCUGAGACGCGAAAGCG
This 238-nucleotide ribosomal RNA is filed under the name uncultured bacterium. Its description in RNAcentral is "partial 16S ribosomal RNA". It matches the Rfam family "Bacterial small subunit ribosomal RNA", at positions 524 to 761 of the family's 1533-position model. The record is from RNAcentral.